Mastomys coucha (southern multimammate mouse) is the source of this 396-nucleotide long non-coding RNA. RefSeq lists it as uncharacterized. NCBI's taxonomy places the organism in Eukaryota, Metazoa, Chordata, Mammalia, Rodentia, Muridae. The record is from RefSeq and is a predicted model, not a curated record. The transcript is spliced from 3 exons.
UUGCAUGACCAGUGAAGGUUGACAUCAGGGAGCAUCAGUCUGUCAGUCCUCUCUAACAGAGAAAAGCAAAUAUUUUGAUCAACACAACAAUUUACUUCAGGGGAAGUGAAAUGGAAAAUGAGGGUUCUAGUAUGAUAAGGCUUCUCCAAAUGGAUCAAGCAACAAGCGUCAUGGUCUGCUAUCGACACCAUACUCUUCCACUCUGUCCUUGAGCUUCAGCAGACAACCAAAAAGCACUGGAAAAGAAAAGUCAGACAUGAACAAGUAUCUACUCACCCAAGACAGCACUGAUGAAAGGAGUAUCCAUAAUGCAAUGGCUGCUGCAGUGUAUGAAAACCCACUUCAACAUGAGUGAUGACUUAAAAAAGCUGUGUUCCUGAAACUUCUGGAGCAACU